Molecule: transfer RNA, 75 nt
Filed under: Sulfuricurvum sp.
Lineage: Bacteria; Pseudomonadati; Campylobacterota; Epsilonproteobacteria; Campylobacterales; Sulfurimonadaceae
Description: tRNA-Gln
Rfam family: tRNA
About the family: Transfer RNA (tRNA) molecules are approximately 80 nucleotides in length. Their secondary structure includes four short double-helical elements and three loops (D, anti-codon, and T loops). Further hydrogen bonds mediate the characteristic L-shaped molecular structure. tRNAs have two regions of fundamental functional importance: the anti-codon, which is responsible for specific mRNA codon recognition, and the 3' end, to which the tRNAs corresponding amino acid is attached (by aminoacyl-tRNA synthetases). tRNAs cope with the degeneracy of the genetic code in two manners: having more than one tRNA (with a specific anti-codon) for a particular amino acid; and 'wobble' base-pairing, i.e. permitting non-standard base-pairing at the 3rd anti-codon position.
Source: RNAcentral
UGGGGUGUAGGCAAAUGGUAUGCCAACAGUUUUUGGUACUGUAGAUUGGAGGUUCGAGUCCUCCCACCCCAUCCA